Non-coding RNA from Chinchilla lanigera (long-tailed chinchilla), 514 nucleotides. NCBI's taxonomy places the organism in Eukaryota, Metazoa, Chordata, Mammalia, Rodentia, Chinchillidae. The record is from the annotation of a RefSeq genome assembly.
UGCACGCCCUUUUGAGCUUGAGGCACAUGGAACUGUCAGCCUCUGACUGACACCUUCCGGGCUGGGAUCCUGGUCUCCAUCCGGGCUGGCCUGUCCCACACACUGUGAGAGAGAAUCUGAGGGGCGAGAGAUGGGCCCCUUUCCCAUGCUGUGUGGCUGGAUGGUCCUGGCUGUUCUGAGUGGAGAAGCCACUGUCAGCCCGGUGGAGCAAAUGCCCAGGUGGGCGCUAAUGCAGGCUGGACAGGCAGAGACUCUCCGCUGCAUCUUGAAGAAUUCCCUGUACCCCUGGAUGGGCUGGUACCAACAAGAUCUCCAGCAGCAACUGCAGUUUCUGGCCACCCUGCGGAGUCCUGGGGACAAGGAGACCAUAUCCCUUCCUGGAGCGGAUUACCUGGUCACGCGGGUCAGUGAGACAGAACUGAGGCUGCAGGUGGCCAAUGUGACUCAGGGAAGAACCCUCUUCUGCACCUGCAGUAAAGACACAGUGAGAAACCCUGCUAGGGCAUUUGAAUAA